ACUGUAACACUGCUGUCCACUAAAGCAGCAGUUGAUAGCUUCACAUUCAGCACUACUGAUACCAGGUUGUCCACAUUGGAUCUGCUCAUAAUCAGCUACAGCACAUUUGUCCAAAGGCUCAGCCUUCGCUACUGGCUUCUGAAUCUGAAACUUCUGAGGAAACUGCUGAUUAGGCUGUUGAACUGGCUUCUGAAACCACUGGUCAGUUUGCUGGAGCAUCAGCGCUUGAGGGUUCUGAGGCAGUUUACUCAACUUACUCAACUUUGGAAGAGCAUGACAGAAAGCACACAGUGCCAAUACCUGAAACAAACACCAACUUCCAGCCAUCAUCCAACCGUUAACCACACUAUUGAAAUACUGCACUUUGGUCUUUUUGUACUCUACAGAUCUCAGCUAAUUAGCUAUAGUCCCUCCCUCUUCAUUAACAAUCAUGAUUCUCCAAACGAGUGUGAACUCAUGCAACUGGGCGAUACUCAUUGGUUCUUAAGACUCAAUUUUCCUCGUUCUUCCCCAUUUGAAUUCAGCGUGGGUUUUAUUCUUCAUUAAGCUCGAGAGACACUGCACAAUUUUCGGCUGUCCCAGACAAAAGAUGGGCAUCGUGAAACAAUCGUGGCGAUUUCUGUGAUCGUGGCUCCUAGUCAGUGGUCCUAUGUCGUACAGUGAGAGAGGUUCAAAGACGGCCGUUGUCACAGUCUUGCAACCAAAGAUAGCCUACGACAGGGAUAGGCAACUUCGGUCCUGGAGGGCCACUGUCCUGCAGAGUUUAGCUCCAACCCUAAUUAAACACACCUGAACAAGGCAAUCAGUGUUUUCGGGAUUACUAGAUAGAUACAGGCAGGUGAGUUUUUAUGAGGGCUGAAGCUAAACUCUGCAGGAUAGUGGCCCUCCAGGACCGGAGUUGCCUAUCCCUGGCCUACGAUAAUUUUCUGGCAGUGUCAGAAAUUCAGCAUGUUCAUCGCACGGUGUGUUUGCAGUUAAGACCCACGUUUACUAAUUUUAAAAUGAUUAAACUUAUGUUUUUCUUUUGAUCUCUGUGUGAAACUAUACAUAAUUAAAUUCAGUUGAUUCCUUUGCAUAGUCAUAUAUUUUCUUUCUGAUGCCUUCUCAUACUUUUGCUAAAGCAGAAAUGUUUAUUCCUGCCUUGUAAAUACAUUUAAAUUUAUUACAUUUUUAAUAACGACAUCUCUUAAUCUUCAGCAGAAAAGUGAAUAGCACUCACUCUCCCAAGAAGUGAAUCCAGCUGACACUUUGCUGAUGCUCUCCACAUGUUUCGUGUGAUUGGCUGUUUGCUGCACGUGUCACACGUUCAAGCAAGUGCUCCAGAGUUAACCACAAACUCUGGAUCGAACUCUGAGUUGACAGAGAACAGUUAUAUCGAGCUUUGUGUGCCCAGUGAACCUGACCUAGACCAGGUUGGCUUUAUCGGGUUUGCGAACUCAAAACUUACUCAGCAACUCUGAGUUUGUUCAUCUCGUUUCAUGCUUCAGGCCACAGGCCUGUAUCUUCAGACUGGCUCAA
Molecule: long non-coding RNA, 1518 nt
Organism: Cyprinus carpio (common carp)
Lineage: Eukaryota; Metazoa; Chordata; Actinopteri; Cypriniformes; Cyprinidae
Source: Ensembl